CUGUCAGACCGCAGCUGGACUGCUUCACCAAAGCUGAGUCACACUGCUCUGCUCCCAGUGACUGCUUCCAAACAAUUAAACCAGAGAGGCACCUGUGUAAAUAUGUAAUCUCUGGUGAUAAGAAAAUGAUUAGGCAGCAGAACUUGAGCUGAACUGGUGAAAAUCUUGUGCUUCCCUCUGGGGGCAUUUUACACGUGCUGUUGAGCGGUUCCCAUCUCAAGAACAAGGUCAAGUUCUUCCUCCCUCUCCUCACCUUGUUUGUUUGGAAAAUUCAGCUAAUCAGUUCUCACGAGAUUUGGUCUGCUGGCAGACAUUGAACUUUUACUCUAAAGGAGUCAUCUCUUGGGUGAGCUGAAAGAAAAGAAGCUAAAGUUGAAACCAGGUGCUGGAGGAUUUUCUCCUCCUCUCAACCAGGGCAGGCAGUUCUGUGGCCACCGCAGGCCAGACCGCUGCAUGGCUGCUUGCUUCCUGAGGACAGCAGGAUUGAUUUCACUGCUGGAGCUGCUGGUGCCCGGGAAGGUGCGCUUCCCUGACCUUUCUGUGAGGGACGGGGCGGGUCCCAGACCCCCAAGCCCUGGCUUCGCUUGAUGACUCACUGCCAGCCAGCGGCCCCUGUACUGGGAAGGAGCUGAGUACCAGAACUGCAUCGUAGGCUUUGUAGAUGGUGGUGGACAAAAUAUAGUCCACACUUAUCAGUUUUCCUCCCACUGACCUCCAUUCCCUGGAGCCCGGGUGAGCAGUGGAACUGCCUUGCAGAACAGUGCCAGCUGCCAUGAAAGAAGUUGGACUUAGCCUAAGCACCCCGUGGUGUAAGGAGCCCCAAAUCAGCCACAGCAGACAGAGAAAAUGCCUGAGCCGCUGCCCACCUGCUCUG
Heterocephalus glaber (naked mole-rat) is the source of this 874-nucleotide long non-coding RNA. Lineage: Eukaryota; Metazoa; Chordata; Mammalia; Rodentia; Bathyergidae. The record is from Ensembl.